This 1787-nucleotide long non-coding RNA is filed under the name Homo sapiens (human). RNAcentral describes it as "HSALNT0169911". The record is from RNAcentral. Lineage: Eukaryota; Metazoa; Chordata; Mammalia; Primates; Hominidae.
GUGGAGACACAGCCAAACCAUAUCCCUUUUAUAUGAAAAUCCAGGUGGGCAGAUUUUUCUCUCAGCAGCUGUUCCCUGCAGAGUCUCCUUGCAGAGCCUUUCCUUGGACUUUCCAAAUCCAGCCCUUGGCUAAGGACUGACAGCAUCUCUCAGGCAGACCACUGCCUGCCCCUACCCUGUGCAGCUUCCUCCCACACAGCCUCACCCACAAACCCACCUUUCUCCACAGCCACAAACUCCGAUCUCUGCCUUCUUAGAGCAGAGAGGCCAUUCCUCUCCACGUGGUCUCACCUCCCUGCACCCUAACUGAAACCUGGGAGUGAGGGGAAAGAGGAGCUCAGGUCAUGUGCCUCCCGCCUCUCAAGGAUGGCAGCCUUGCGCUGGCUGUAGCAGAAUACCGGAAAAGAUCUGCCUAAGGUGGUUAAUCUGUGUGCGGGCAGGUGGGCUGAUGCAGAACCCCCUGUGGCUGGAGCAGGUCUUCACCGGUCAAGGCACAUCCAGGUUGAUUCCUCUUCUGGAGGCUUCACAAUACCUGCUCCAGGAGUGGCUCAUCCAGUCACAAAGCUCACCUCCUCUCCCUCCUCCAGGAAGAAUUCCAGUGCCAUAUUAUUUCAUUUCCACUCCACAAAUCCAACAUAGUUAAUUGGGUUUGAUAUUAAUGAGCUUGUACAGCUAAAACAUGGAAAUAUAAUAACUACUGUUGAUCGAUCUUUCAGCCCCGUCACGAAGGGCCCUCGUAACUGGACCUCAUGCCAAACAACUCGUUACAAAAAGAGCUAGGGUCUCAGACCACGCAGAAGCUUCAUGAGACCCCUCCUUGUCUGCAUGGACAAGUGGUCGACUCUGGAUCCCAAGAUGUUGCUUCCCAGUUUGGUGGUGAAUCCUCCAUAGUCUGCUAACUGAAAGGCUCAACACUCCAGUGAAGAAGAAACCACAAAUGAUGAACAAAUGUUUUGUCACUCUUUCAGAUUCAGAAAUUUUGCUUGAAAAAAGUCUGAAGAAACUAAUUUAGGAAAGAAACCUCUGCCAAUAACUCUAAAGAGUUUGAAUUGGUUGCCUUUAUUCCUAACACUAUGAUGUUUUGGGAUAGGAACUAGUAGAUGGUAUUUUUUCUUUCCCAUUGGCAGUAUAUCAUUUACAACAGAUGUUCCCGACUCAGGAUAAAAUGUAACUGGCAGCCAGAGUCACCCACCAGCCCCUGAGGAAAGGGCUCAACCUUGAGAACAUCUGGCUGGCUUCAAGAAGGUCACACAAAUACAAGAUGAUGCUGAGGAUAAGACAAGUGGUUUUGAGAGAGGAAAACCUUUAAAAAUAUUUGGAAGAGUCCUGAAGACCAAUAAAAUAAAGACACUGCAAUACUUCAUGGACACCAGAGAGCAAUUUAACACUGAAAUGAAAGCAACAUGUUGCACCUGAACACUGAAAAAAGCCCAUGUGUUAAGAGGAAGAAGAAAUAUGCAAUUCACUGCAAUAAAUAUUGAACCUUUAAAAAACAGAAGGAACAUGAAAACUAAAGGACACUGGGCCACAGCAAAUAAGGUGGCGGCAGCCAUCCCAUAAUGAUUACAUGAUCUCCAUGAUUGUAAAAUGUAUAUGCCACCUGAAUUUAUUCUUAGACCUUCUCUCAAAGAUGUCUGCAUUCAACACAGGCAAUAACUGCAGGUAAUAGUGAAGAAUCCUUCAGGCAUGAUAGAGGAACAGACUAAGUGUGGGAAAAGGAAGAACUAGGCCGGGCGCGGUGGCUCACGCCUGUAAUCCCAGCACUUUGGGAGGCCGAGGCGGGCGGA